Molecule: ribosomal RNA, 158 nt
Filed under: uncultured bacterium
Lineage: Bacteria
Description: partial 16S ribosomal RNA
Source: RNAcentral
CUGCUGCCUCCCGUAGGAGUCUGGGCCGUGUCUCAGUCCCAAUGUGGCCGUUCACCCUCUCAGGCCGGCUACUGAUCGUCGCCUUGGUGGGCCGUUACCCCGCCAACAAGCUAAUCAGACGCGGAACCAUCGUAUACCACCGGAGUUUUUCACACUCC